GGGGUCUCGGUGGGGCCCACUCUAGAUUACCACGGACACGGAUGCGCAGCUUGUAGACGUCGGCAUGCUCGCCGUCGUCGGGGGAGAUGGGAAGCGAAUCUGGGAUUGGCAGAAGCUGAGGAGAUGCGCAAUUUGGCAGAAUGCCAUCAGGAUUACACCACUGCUUAAAGAACACUCUGACGUUACUCCAAAGCUCCAUCCCACCCCACCUUCUGGGGUGCUUCAUGCUCUGGGACCACCCAGUCCAGUUCAGAGGCGGUGGGCAGCUGCAUGCCCUCGAACUGCUUCAGGAGCCCCAUGGCCACUGCCUCGGCGGAACCGGACUGAAGGAAGGAGUGUGUGCUGUAAGGACAGAGGCGGAACGGGAAAGAGAUUCUAUAGGGCAGUUUUUCCACAUUUUUGCUAGUGGCAAAUGGGAGGGAGCAAAAUUAUGGACUGACUGUUGGUUCCCAAGAACCGGACUGGGAAACACUGCUCUAGAGAGAGGGUCUAUGCACCUGCAUGUCCUUCAGCCAGAGGAAAACGAGAGAAAGCGGGAUAAAGACUGAUGGGAGACUCACGUAGAGGUGGAACUCAGGAGCGACUUGCUGCACGACCAGGUGGUAUCUCCAUCUGGAAGGAAGCCAUGAAGAAGAUGGAGCAGAAGAAAAAACACUCUUGGAUCUUGUUUAUGGAGAACUUUCCCCACGACAUGAGAAGGCCCAACCAAGAUGAAUGUAUGUGUUUUUUCCUUACAAUCAGAAAGCAAUAUAGAUGUAAACUAUUUCCAAAGGGAGAGCUAACUAGAAGCUGCUGCAGUAACUGACCUCUGUGUGCUCCUAUAUCACCAGCAGAGGUGGGUAGUUCAGG
This is a long non-coding RNA of Brienomyrus brachyistius, 849 nucleotides long. RefSeq lists it as uncharacterized. The record is from RefSeq and is a predicted model, not a curated record. Lineage: Eukaryota; Metazoa; Chordata; Actinopteri; Osteoglossiformes; Mormyridae. The transcript is spliced from 2 exons.